UAGGGAAUCUUCGGCAAUGGACGAAAGUCUGACCGAGCAACGCCGCGUGAGUGAAGAAGGUUUUCGGGUUGUAAAGCACUUUCAGCGGGGAGGAAGGCGAUAAGGUUAAUAACCUUGUCGAUUGACGUUACCCGCAGAAGAAGCACCGGCUAACUCCGUGCCAGCAGCCGCGGUAAUACGGAGGGUGCAAGCGUUAAUCGGAAUUACUGGGCGUAAAGCGCACGCAGGCGGUUGAUUGAGUCAGAUGUGAAAUCCCCGGGCUUAACCCGGGAAUUGCAUCUGAUACUGGUCAGCUAGAGUCUUGUAGAGGGGGGUAGAAUUCCAUGUGUAGCGGUGAAAUGCGUAGAGAUGUGGAGGAAUACCGGUGGCGAACGCGGCCCCCUGGACAAAGACUGACGCUCAGGUGCGAAAGCGUGGGGAGCAAACAGG
This 429-nucleotide ribosomal RNA is filed under the name Chloroflexota bacterium. RNAcentral's name for it is "Chloroflexi bacterium partial 16S ribosomal RNA". It matches the Rfam family "Bacterial small subunit ribosomal RNA", at positions 355 to 776 of the family's 1533-position model. Lineage: Bacteria; Bacillati; Chloroflexota. The record is from RNAcentral.